GAUGAACGCUGGCGGCGUGCCUAAUACAUGCAAGUCGAGCGGACCAAAGAGAGCUUGCUCCCUGAGGUUAGCGGCGGACGGGUGAGUAACACGUGGGUAACCUGCCUGUAAGACGGGGAUAACUUCGGGAAACCGAAGCUAAUACCGGAUGAUAAAGAGAAACGCCUGUUUCUUUUUUGAAAGUCGGCCUUGUGCUGACGCUUACAGAUGGGCCCGCGGCGCAUUAGCUAGUUGGUGAGGUAACGGCGCACCAAGGCGACGAUGCGUAGCCGACCUGAGAGGGUGAUCGGCCACACUGGGACUGAGACACGGCCCAGACUCCUACGGGAGGCAGCAGUAGGGAAUCUUCGGCAAUGGACGAAAGUCUGACCGAGCAACGCCGCGUGAGCGAUGAAGGCCUUCGGGUCGUAAAGCUCUGUUGUCAGAGAAGAACAAGUACCGGAGUAACUGCCGGUACCUUGACGGUACCUGACCAGAAAGCCACGGCUAACUACGUGCCAGCCGCCGCAGUAA
Molecule: ribosomal RNA, 513 nt
Filed under: uncultured bacterium
Lineage: Bacteria
Description: partial 16S ribosomal RNA
Rfam family: Bacterial small subunit ribosomal RNA
Source: RNAcentral